This 483-nucleotide ribosomal RNA is filed under the name uncultured bacterium. RNAcentral describes it as "partial 16S ribosomal RNA". It matches the Rfam family "Bacterial small subunit ribosomal RNA", at positions 30 to 506 of the family's 1533-position model. The record is from RNAcentral.
AUUGAACGCUGGCGGAAUGCUUUACACAUGCAAGUCGAGCGGCAGCGCGGCCUUCGGGCUGGCGGCGAGCGGCGAACGGGUGAGUAAUGCAUCGGAACAUGCCCAGUCGUGGGGGAUAACACUUCGAAAGAAGUGCUAAUACCGCAUACGUCCUGAGGGGGAAAGCGGGGGAUCGCAAGACCUCGCGCGAUUGGAGUGGCCGAUGUCAGAUUAGCUAGUUGGUGGGGUAAAGGCCUACCAAGGCGACGAUCUGUAGCUGGUCUGAGAGGAUGAUCAGCCACACUGGGACUGAGACACGGCCCAGACUCCUACGGGAGGCAGCAGUGGGGAAUUUUGGACAAUGGGGGCAACCCUGAUCCAGCCAUUCCGCGUGAGUGAAGAAGGCCUUCGGGUUGUAAAGCUCUUUCGGCAGGAACGAAACGGUGGGCUCUAACAUAGUCCGCUAAUGACGGUACCUGAAGAAGAAACACCGGCUAACUACGU